Non-coding RNA from Callithrix jacchus (white-tufted-ear marmoset), 5361 nucleotides. NCBI's taxonomy places the organism in Eukaryota, Metazoa, Chordata, Mammalia, Primates, Cebidae. The record is from RefSeq and is a predicted model, not a curated record.
ACGGCUUGUCUCACCCUCGCUUGGGCUUCCGGAACGGGCAGCGCCGAGGCCCGCCCCCCGGUCGCACCAGGCCCCGCCCUUUUGGCUACGGCGCUGCGUCCUCGCCGCGCGUCGCGUCCUCGUCCCGGCUUCCGGGGCGGGACGGAAGAGCUGGCGGGCCCGGCCAGUCCAAGGCGCCGCGGCUUCCGCCCAGGAGGGGCGCUGGUCCUAGACGAGGUCGUGCGCGCUUCCUGCGUUGGUUUUUUGCUGUCCCCGCCCGCCCCCAGGUGCGCGGGACGUAGAGGCGGGACAGCGGGUAGGCGGAGAUGAAAGAGGCCGGCGGCGGGGCCCCGGGGGCGCGCGUGCCAGGCCCUGCUGCAGCCCCCGAGAGGUCGGAGGUGCGGAGCCUAUGCACUGGGCCGGGGGCCAGCCCGCGUGUCGGCCUGCGCGGAACGCACACCUCGGACAGAAAAGUGACAUCAGAACCCUAGGCUCUGUUGUCAACCAGGGUUACAGAUGUCACCCUCUCUGCACGGGGAGGAAGGUGUAGCCGGCCACCAGCCCUGUUGAUUACCUUAGCUCACUGCUGCCUCGUCUCCAGCCGGAAGAUCCGCUUACCCAGAGCUAAGUCUCAAGCUUCUCAGCAUCCCUGAGCUUGACCCAAGUUGCCUGAAGAUCCUCACCUACCUGUUACCCCAGAUUUUCGAAUACUGGCUGCCUCCCUUUGCUUGAGAUGGGAAAGGAUGCCCUCUGCCCAGCAUCUGAAGAAAGGGCAUGAAGAAAUAAGUGAGCCCUGGAUGGCCCAUGUGUGGCACCAAGCCUGCCGGGCCUGUGGUGCCAGGGCUACAAGGGCAUGGCAGAACACCCCCAGUGUGCCCACACACAGUGGCAAGCCAGCCCCCAGGACACUGAGGCUGUCUCUCCCAUCUGUAACCCAUCCUUCCUGGCAAUGCAGAGGGGCAGUCUGGCUUUUUCCUUGGCUUUUGAGGUUGGUAUAUGCUUGAUGUUGGCAGCAGACAGGACACCCCAGCACAAUGAGCCACAGCAAUCCAGACCUUCUAGCCCCCAAGUGUACCUCAGAGCGGAAGCUCCACAUUUGAUUUUUUUUUGGCUCCAUAUUAAAGAACAAAGCAUAGGAACUGGACAGGCCCCUCUGUAAACAGAAAACACAUGUUUUCUAAGAGAAUGGGCCCUUCCUUUCCUUGUUUCAUCUCCCAUGGACAGAGGCCUCCUUAGGCUUGCUGACUUCAAGACCAGGGAGGCUGUGGACCAAGGGCUGAGCGGAGGUGAUUCUUCUUUGCUCAACUCAGGGGCUGACACUCACCUUUUGAAAGGGGGCAAGGACAAGUGUUAGUGGUCUGCUCAGCAGUGGGGUGUGGUCUGAGGAGGAAGGUUCCUCAGGGACCUGAACAGGAAGUGGGGGGCCUGGACCAUUUGUCUCUUCUGAGCACACAAGAAUCAUUUAGGGUUGGCCGGGCGCGGUGGCUCAUGCCUAUAAUCCCAGCACUUUGGGAGGCCGAGGCGAGUGGAUAACGCAGUCAAGAGAUCGAGACCAUCCUGGUCAACAUGGUGAAACCCCGUCUCUACUAAAAAUACAAAAAAAAAAAAAAAAAAAAUAGCUGGGCAUGGUGGCGCGUGCCUGUAAUCCCAGCUACUCAGGAGGCUGAGGCAGGAGAAUUGCCUGAACCAAGAGGCAGAGGUUGCGGUGAGCUGAGAUCACGCCAUCGCACUCCAGCCUGUGUAACAAGAGCGAAACUCCGUCUCAAAAAAUAAUAAUAAUAAUUUAGGGUUCUCCCCGAGUUAAGAUGAACAUGUGUUCUUUGGAGCCUGCUAGCCACAACCAGGCAGAGACCUCUAACUCAGAAGAGAAGCCUGAUGUCUGCAAAGAACAGGCAUUCUGGGACUGAGUACCCACUGCUGUGUGGCCUUGGGCAAGUUUCUUAACCUCUCUGGGCCUCAUGUUUCUCGUCUGUAGAAGUGGGAUAACAAUAGUUUAGGAUUAAAUGAGAUCAUGGGAAUAGCCCCAUCAGACACAUAAUUAGAAGCUAGUUAAUAAGUGAGCAAAAUCAAACAUUGUCUCAGUUUCAAUGCUGAGCUGUUGUUUUAGAGUGGCCCAAGAAUCGCCUACAGACACCCAGGGUCCCUGUACUCCAAGGAGCACCUCCUCUCCCCCUGCCUUCUGUUGGGCACAGCCACUCACAGACUGGCUAUGACACCUCUUUGGAAGCAGCCAUCUUGGGGACAGAUCAUUCCUUUGAAUCCUCCCAGCUGCCUAAACUUUGUCCUAUAGGGGAGAUUUGAUUUUGAGAAAUAAUCAGACAUCCUUUAAGACAAGUCUGCUGAAUGGAUGCUCAGAAGCCAAGCCAGGGCCUCCUGUCCAGCGCCAGCUUGUGCCACGACUGUAAAGUCAGUAGCCACGGCUUCCUGCUCCAAAGGCACUAUAGAGCCACAAAUGGAUCACUGUCACUGGUGUUGGGGUGUGUGUGUGUAUGUCUGAAAACAGAGAGAUUCACACACACCCGUGAGCUCAGUGGAGGAAGCAAACCAAAGCCUGAGUAGUUAACACGAGGCUGCCUUUCGUCUCUCAGCCCACAACUUGAUUUUCAUGGAAAUUUCUCUGCAUGGGAAAAUGACAAGCAUUUCUGAUACAGGCAAGUAUGAGAGUACGGCAGCAUGCUGUCCUGGCAUGCUGGGGUUUAGAGGCGGGUCCCCCAGCCUGCUCCUCACCAGCUAUGUGGCCUCUGGCCCCUUUCUUCAUCCCCUAGCCCUUGGUUUCCCCAUCUCAGGUCCUGCAGGGGGGAAACACACAGGCCAUGCCCAUACGCGUGGGCAUUCACAGCAUCUGCUGGUCACAUUGCUCAUUAAAACACUGUAAAAAUUAAUUGGCAUUCACAAAGUUCUAGUCACAAUAGCAAACUUUUUUUUUUUUGAGACGGAGUUUCGCUCUUGUUACCCAGGCUGGAGUGCAAUGGUGCGAUCUCGGCUCACCGCAACCUCCGCCUCCCGGGUUCAGGCAAUUCUCCUGCCUCAGCCUCCCGAGUAGCUGGGAUUACAGGCACGCGCCACCAUGCCCAGCUAAUUUUUUGUAUUUUUAGUAGAGACAGGGUUUCACCAUGUUGACCAGGAUGGUCUCGAUCUCUCAACCUCGUGAUCCACCCGCCUCGGCCUCCCAAAGUGCUGGGAUUACAGGCGUGAGCCACCGCGCCCGGCCACAUUUUUUAAAAUCAGAAACAGGCCAGGCACAGUAGCUCAUGCCUGUAAUUCCAGCACUUUGGGAGGCCGAGGUGGGUCACUUGAGCCUGGGAGACAGAGGUUACGGUUAGCCAAGACUGUGCCACUGGACUCCAGCCUGGGCGACAGUGAGACCGUGACUCAAAAAAAAAAAAAAUUCAAUUGUCCAUCAGUAGAUAAAUAGGUAAACAAACAUCAAUAGGCAUAUGAUAAAAUAUUCCAAUGCAGUGAAAAGGAAGGAGCUAUUGAUAGACUCAGCAAUGUAGACACACGUCAGGAUCCCAAGGAAGAGUUCAUACUCCACGAGUUUUAACGUUUUUUUUCAAAUAAAUUAAAAGUGAUCUACAGUGAUAGGAUUCGGGUUAGUGGCUGCCAGGGAGUCAGAGAUUGCCUGCAAGGGGCCCCAGGGAACCUGUGGUGAUGGCUGUUUGCUUUCUCGAUCUUGGUGGUAAUAGGAAUAACGCCUGCAUACAUUUGUCAAAACUCAUUGAACAGUAGAGGUGAGAGGGAUUCUGCCACAUGGAACUUUUACCUCAAUAAGGUUGAUUUCAAAAAUUAACUGGUAUUUAUAUUUUAUGUUUCAAAUCUUGUAGAGAAUAAUAAUGACAUAAAAUGCUCACAACCUGUUCAACAAGAAGUGUAAAAUAACGUACAGCGUGAUAUAAUCAUGAAUGUAUGUUUGCGUUAUAACAUGGUAUGGUCCAUUCACAUAGGUGCGAACAGGAAUAUGCACGUGCACAUAGACACACGCAGUUUGGAAAACGUAGUGGAAGGACUUUCCCCCAAAUGCACUCGGUAAUUACAUAAUCACCUCAUGGGGAAUUGUUUUCUUUUAAUUUUUUAAUUCUAAAUACGUUUAUCCUCUUACUAGUUCUUUUUUGGACUUUCCUGUAAUGAGCACUUUUGUGUGUGGAAGAGGAGUCUCUUUUGCUUGCCAUAUUCUUAUUAAUUUUAUUGUUAAUUGACUAAUAAUUGUAUAUGCUUAUGAGGUUUAAUCUGUUAUAUACAUAACACUUUUUAUAAACAGAAGCAAACAAAGCUCUUCCUUUUUAGUUGUAGCAGGCCACAGACAUGGGGCUGGGCUCCAGGGCACGGUGUUGAGGACAGCCUGGUUCCCGCGAAAGGCAACCCCCUGGCAACGCUGGAGCAGAUGGAGAGAGAGUGAGGGGGUGUGGCUUGCUCCCCAAGUUCUUUGGCUCAGCUUCAGUGCUAGGUCAUUCUUAGGGACUGCUGUGCCCACUGGGCACUGCAGAACUUCUGGUGCUCAUGGCGAAGGGCAGCCGGGAGGAGCCCUGUACCCAGGCCAGACCUUCCUGUUUGGAGUACUGGGACCCCGUGGCCGCGUAAACCUUUCCUGAAGCUUCUGGGCCCCAAGGGGUUGAAUCCAGUGUGGUCUGGGGAGUCAUGGACCAUGCCUCCUGCAUGCAUCCUCCAUUCCAGGUUCCUGUGUGUGCCGUGGGCCCAUCCACCUGUCUGGGCUUGGCUACGCUGUGACCUUCUCUGAGGACAGGGCCCUGCCUGCAUUUGGAGCUGCCGGGACCUCAGUGUCACCCCCCACUCUCGCCAGCUGGCCUCACAAAGGUGCCCAGGAGGAGACCUGAUUGCCGGCUCCUUUCCCCUCCCUGGCUGAGCAGAUUCUACGACAGCCUGUGGAAGUUAAAAUAAGAGCCUAAAACUGUCAAAAAAAAUUUUUUUAAACCAAGUCACAAAUGGGAAAGCUGAGGCAGCAGCAGGUUAAGGACACUUUGUGAUGUAGUGUUCUCUCCCAGUGCCUUCAUGCCAUAAACUUCACAGUCCACGGUCCCUGCACACAGGCAGCCACGGAGACUGGGUUUAGACUUGCAGGUGAACGCUGCAUUGGAAGUAUGGCAGGCUCAGAACUGUUCCAUCACAUGGGGGGUCAUUAGCUCUGCUCACUUUUGUGAGGCCUCACUAGUGUUUCCCCUUAAAAAUAAGUCAAGGUAAAAGAAAAAGUUUUUAAAAUAUAACAGUUGUGUAUCUGUUUCUCUAAUUGUAAAGAAAUACACUGUCAUGUGAUGGGCUGGAGUCUCUGGAGCAGCAGCCGAGGAGGGAAUGUUUUCUUUCCUUGUUUUAACAGUGUGUAUUGCUUUUAUAAUGGGAAGAAAUAAAAUAUAAGUACAUUGAAGGUAA